This is a long non-coding RNA of Mustela erminea (ermine), 2648 nucleotides long. RefSeq lists it as uncharacterized. The record is from RefSeq and is a predicted model, not a curated record. The transcript has 2 exons. NCBI's taxonomy places the organism in Eukaryota, Metazoa, Chordata, Mammalia, Carnivora, Mustelidae.
AGUCCACUGUUUCCCAACAAAAAAGGCAUUCAGGCCGAGAGCGAUGGCUCCCCGGGCCCUGGCGAGCCCGCUUCAGGACGGUGAAUGGACGCCGCUCCCACGUCAAUGGCCUCUGUGGGAAAGACAAUGAUGUCACCGCGAAGAAUAGAUACCUGGAUGACCUUAAUCUUCUUUAUUGAAACCAUUAAAAUACUGGAAGGUAGAUGACACGUAGAUAGUACCAUUGAGCCUCGCUCUCAAGUUGGCACAGAAGAAGGAACCCACAGAGUCUAAAUAAAAACGGAAGCAGAAACCUGGGAAAUAAGCAGGAAGUGUAAGAAGCAAGGUUGGUUUUGCCUUGGGAUUUUAUUGGAAACUGGAGGCCUUGAGUUUCUGCUUUGCUAUGACACAGAAGCACGUGGGCCUGCUCCAUGUGAAGAAUCUCAGAAGACACCGUCCCUCAUAAAGCUGAGAUCCUGAAGGAGUAAAGACACUGUCCGGAGAGGAAAUGAAUUGAUCUCAAUUCUGAAACUCUCUGGGGUGGGGGGAACCUCUCCGAAGAAUGCAUGCCCUCACACAAUACAGCCCCAGAUCACAGCAUUCGUGUGGAAAGAAGGAAAGAAGGUAGGAAGGAAACUUGAAGCGGACCCAGGUUGGUGAGGUUCUAGGCCACGGGCAGAAGCAGAUUCAAAUCCUAGCUGAGUGCCACCAGGUAGGAAAUAUCCCGACAUUUAAGUGCAGGGAAAAUAACUAGCUGACAUUUUGAAAUGCAUAAAACUCAGAAGGAAACAAUGUCCCAUGUGUGAGAACGGCAGCAAAAGAAAAUCCAAAAGCACUCAAAAUGGGAAUUAUCGGAAUCAAAAUUAUAUUUUACAUGCUUCAAGAAAUAAGAGUUUGACAAUAUGAAAGGGUUGCAAGAGUUUAUUUAAAACCACGGAAAUCUGAAAAAGAAUGACAUCACAAUUUCACUGUCUACAAAUGAAAUUUAAAUUAAAUUAGUGGAUUAAACAGCAGAUUGGAGAAAGUUGAUAAAAAAAAGAAUUAGCAAACUGUCAGAACUGAAGAGAUCAUCCUGAAAGCAGCAACAAAGGAAAAAAAAAAAAAAAAAGAUGAGAAACAUAACAGAAGGGUUAAGCACUGAGAAGAAAGUGAAAAGUUUUAACUCUGUCUCACUACAGACCCAGAAGGAGAAAAUAAAGGGUAAGAAUUAAUAUUCAAAAGACAGUGGCAAUGGCUGUGAGCACUCUCCAAUUGUAACUUAGCAAUUCUGACAUCGGGAAACCGAGGGAGUUCCGAUCAACAGAAAUGGCAAUCAAACUCGUCAUGAAUUUGCUGAAGAGUCAAAAGCAAAGAGGGAAAGACAGAUCACCACAGACACAUAGCAAGCAGACUGAUGACUGAUUUCUCAACAGUAAGAACAGAAGCCAUGAGGCUUUGUAAUUAAUAUCUUCCAAGUGCUGAUAGAAAAUAAUUGUCAAUCUCAAUGCCCGUAUCUUUCAGGAAUGAAAGCACCAUACAGAUAACAUUCAACAAGUCAGAAUUGAGUUAGUCACCAGCAGACGCACACAGGAGAGGCAGAAGGAAAGAGACUUCAGCUGGAGUGUGUGAGAUGCGGUCACAUGACAGGGUGUGAGGACUUGCUGACCGAACCUCAGACCCGCAUGGGACCGCUAAUCUCGGAGAGCUGAGAAGCUUGACUCAUGGUCUCUGGCACCUGGAUGCCUUACUGUGUAUCAGCAGGAGGACAAAAAGGAGCUUCUUAAACCUCAUUAUAGCAUCUACAUGGUCCAGACCUGACCCAUUUUUCAUAUUACUCUUUCUCCCAUGAUACUUACCUCCUCCACAUCACCACAUAAUUUAGUUAUUGUUAUGCUGAUCGGUUAUUUUCCAUCGUCACUGCUACUUUUGCUAAAAUUUAAGCUCUGGGAUGUUUGUUGGCUUCGUUUGCUGGCUAAUGCUAACAUGUGUGAAUAUGUGUGGACGGAAUGAAAAGUUACAAGUAUUUUCUUUAAAAUAGACCAAAACAAGUAAACACAGUAAAACAGACACAGAAAUUAAAGACCCAAUAUAAGAAACCAAAUGGUCCAUAUUUUUAGAAAACACAAUUAUCUACAGAAGUCUCAAAAGAUCUACAGGCAAAUUAUUAUAAUUAAUAAGAAUAUUUGCUACAAAGUGUACAAAAUCAAUACACAAAGGAAUAAUAGUAUCUACUCUAGAGCAACACAAAGUUAUUUAAAUAAUUAAGAAGAUACCAUUUUAAAUACAAAGAGAAAACAUGUAAGACCUGAGAAUGAACUUAAACGUUUUAAGCAUUCUAUGGAAAUACUGUCUCAUGAAAGAUGUAUAAGGCAUUUAAAAACAGCUAUCAAAGAAUAUCUAAAUAAAAGAAGAGAGAUGCCAAAUUUUUAAUUAAAAAAUAUAAUGUUCAACAUAUAUCAGUGCUACACAAAUGGAUCUAUGAGUUCAUUGCAAGUCCAAUACAUUUCCCAACAGAAGUUUUCACAGAUUUCACAAACUAUUUCUAAAACUUAAUAGGAAGAACAAAUGGCAAGGAUCACGAAUGCCCCUUUGAAGAACAAGGUAGAAAUAACUGCCUUACUAGACAUCAAGGCUUGUUAUAAAGUAAAAUUAAUUAAGUAACAAAUACUUAAUAAAAUAGUAACAAUCAA